RNAcentral lists this ribosomal RNA (428 nucleotides) under Actinomycetes bacterium. Its description in RNAcentral is "Actinobacteria bacterium partial 16S ribosomal RNA". It matches the Rfam family "Bacterial small subunit ribosomal RNA", at positions 355 to 776 of the family's 1533-position model. Lineage: Bacteria; Bacillati; Actinomycetota; Actinomycetes. The record is from RNAcentral.
UAGGGAAUCUUCCGCAAUGGGCGAAAGCCUGACGGAGCAACGCCGCGUGAGUGAUGAAGGUCUUCGGAUCGUAAAACUCUGUUAUUGGGAAGAACAAAUGUGUAAGUAACUAUGCACGUCUUGACGGUACCUAAUCAGAAAGCCACGGCUAACUACGUGCCAGCAGCCGCGGUAAUACGUAGGUGGCAAGCGUUAUCCGGAAUUAUUGGGCGUAAAGCGCGCGUAGGCGGUUUUUUAAGUCUGAUGUGAAAGCCCACGGCUCAACCGUGGAGGGUCAUUGGAAACUGGAAAACUUGAGUGCAGAAGAGGAAAGUGGAAUUCCAUGUGUAGCGGUGAAAUGCGCAGAGAUAUGGAGGAACACCAGUGGCGAAGGCGACUUUCUGGUCUGUAACUGACGCUGAUGUGCGAAAGCGUGGGGAUCAAACAGG